Molecule: non-coding RNA, 462 nt
Organism: Pelobates fuscus (common spadefoot toad)
Lineage: Eukaryota; Metazoa; Chordata; Amphibia; Anura; Pelobatidae
Source: the annotation of a RefSeq genome assembly
AUGGAUGACUCUCAGCCUUUUCAUGCUGCAAUAACCUCUACUGCAGCUUCCAUUGGCAAUGCAGCUCUUUCUAGCAGAGUUAGAUUAAGCAUUGCAGCUUCUGUUCUUUAUGGUGCUCAGAGCAAGGAAUUUGUUGCAUGGAGUAACAGUCAGGUGAUCCAGCCUGCACAACUUGAAGUUCAUGAAGACCAGGCUGUCUCCUUGGAAUGUAAACACUCCACAAAAAACUACCACAUAAUAGCUUGGUACAUAUAUGUCCCUAGACUUGCCCUGCAGAUCUGCGCUUAUGGGACCUUAACAGCUACUAGCAAGGAGGGGUUCAUAAUGACUAUAGAUAAAGAGAAGCUCACCACAAACCUUUAUAUCAACAAAACAAAGGUGGAAGACACAGCUGUGUAUUACUGUGCAGUGAGCGACACAGUGAUAUUAUCUCUUCUGUCCUUCUGCUCUCAACUUGGUAUU